GACGAACGCUGGCGGCGUGCUUAACACAUGCAAGUCGAACGGUGAAGCUCCAGCUUGCUGGAGUGGAUCAGUGGCGAACGGGUGAGUAACACGUGAGCAACCUGCCCCUGACUCUGGAAUAAGCGCUGGAAACGGCGUCUAAUACUGGAUACGAGAAGGGUCCGCAUGGGCACUUUCUGGAAAGUUUUUCGGUUGGGGAUGGGCUCGCGGCCUAUCAGCUUGUUGGUGAGGUAAUGGCUCACCAAGGCGACGACGGGUAGCCGGCCUGAGAGGGCGACCGGCCACACUGGGACUGAGACACGGCCCAGACUCCUACGGGAGGCAGCAGUGGGGAAUAUUGCACUAUGGGCGAAAGCCUGAUGCAGCGACGCCGCGUGAGGGAUGACGGCCUUCGGGUUGUAAACCUCUUUCAGCAGGGAAGAAGCGAAAGUGACGGUACCUGCAGAAGAAGCACCGGCUAACUACGUG
RNAcentral lists this ribosomal RNA (468 nucleotides) under uncultured bacterium. Its description in RNAcentral is "partial 16S ribosomal RNA". It matches the Rfam family "Bacterial small subunit ribosomal RNA", at positions 28 to 507 of the family's 1533-position model. The record is from RNAcentral.